Molecule: non-coding RNA, 106 nt
Organism: Canis lupus familiaris (dog)
Lineage: Eukaryota; Metazoa; Chordata; Mammalia; Carnivora; Canidae
Source: Rfam
AGGAGGAACAACCCCAGUGAUAGCGGCCAGCUCUGGAAACCUGGAUUCAGCCCCUGCAGUAACUCCUGAGCAGACAGUCUGCAGGGUCUGGAGGCUCUGGGGCUGG